AGCGGCGGACGGGUGAGUAACACGUGGGUAACCUGCCCAAGAGACUGGGAUAACACCUGGAAACAGAUGCUAAUACCGGAUAACAACACUAGACGCAUGUCUAGAGCUUGAAAGAUGGUUCUGCUAUCACUCUUGGAUGGACCUGCGGUGCAUUAGCUAGUUGGUAAGGUAACGGCUUACCAAGGCAAUGAUGCAUAGCCGAGUUGAGAGACUGAUCGGCCACAUUGGGACUGAGACACGGCCCAAACUCCUACGGGAGGCAGCAGUAGGGAAUCUUCCACAAUGGACGAAAGUCUGAUGGAGCAACGCCGCGUGAGUGAAGAAGGGUUUCGGCUCGUAAAGCUCUGUUGGUAGUGAAGAAAGAUAGAGGUAGUAACUGGCCUUUAUUUGACGGUAAUUACUUAGAAAGUCACGGCUAACUACGUGCCAGCAGCCGCGGUAAUACGUAGGUGGCAAGCGUUGUCCGGAUUUAUUGGGCGUAAAGCGAGUGCAGGCGGUUCAAUAAGUCUGAUGUGAAAGCCUUCGGCUCAACCGGAGAAUUGCAUCAGAAACUGUUGAACUUGAGUGCAGAAGAGGAGAGUGGAACUCCAUGUGUAGCGGUGGAAUGCGUAGAUAUAUGGAAGAACACCAGUGGCGAAGGCGGCUCUCUGGUCUGCAACUGACGCUGAGGCUCGAAAGCAUGGGUAGCGAACAGGAUUAGAUACCCUGGUAGUCCAUGCCGUAAACGAUGAGUGCUAAGUGU
This 742-nucleotide ribosomal RNA is filed under the name uncultured bacterium. RNAcentral describes it as "bacterial SSU rRNA". It matches the Rfam family "Bacterial small subunit ribosomal RNA", at positions 94 to 823 of the family's 1533-position model. The record is from RNAcentral.